GAGAAGAGCGGCGGACGGGUGAGUAACGCGUGGGUAACCUGCCCUGUACACACGGAUAACAUACCGAAAGGUGUGCUAAUACGAGAUAAUAUGCUUUUAUCGCAUGGUAGAAGUAUCAAAGUUUUUGCGGUACAGGAUGGACCCGCGUCUGAUUAGCUAGUUGGUAAGGUAACGGCUUACCAAGGCGACGAUCAGUAGCCGACCUGAGAGGGUGAUCGGCCACAUUGGAACUGAGACACGGUCCAAACUCCUACGGGAGGCAGCAGUGGGGAAUAUUGCACAAUGGGCGAAAGCCUGAUGCAGCAACGCCGCGUGAGCGAUGAAGGCCUUCGGGUCGUAAAGCUCUGUCCUCAAGGAAGAUAAUGACGGUACUUGAGGAGGAAGCCCCGGCUAACUACGUGCCAGCAGCCGCGGUAAUACGUAGGGGGCUAGCGUUAUCCGGAAUUACUGGGCGUAAAGGGUGCGUAGGUGGUUUCUUAAGUCAGAGGUGAAAGGCUACGGCUCAACCGUAGUAAGCCUUUGAAACUGGGAAACUUGAGUGCAGGAGAGGAGAGUGGAAUUCCUAGUGUAGCGGUGAAAUGCGUAGAUAUUAGGAGGAACACCAGUUGCGAAGGCGGCUCUCU
This 623-nucleotide ribosomal RNA is filed under the name uncultured Clostridium sp. Its description in RNAcentral is "bacterial SSU rRNA". It matches the Rfam family "Bacterial small subunit ribosomal RNA", at positions 88 to 730 of the family's 1533-position model. Lineage: Bacteria; Bacillati; Bacillota; Clostridia; Eubacteriales; Clostridiaceae. The record is from RNAcentral.